Molecule: transfer RNA, 70 nt
Filed under: Eutropis multifasciata (many-lined sun skink)
Lineage: Eukaryota; Metazoa; Chordata; Lepidosauria; Squamata; Scincidae
Description: tRNA-Trp
Source: RNAcentral
AAAAGCUUAAGUUAGAUUAAACUAAGGGCCUUCAAAGCCCUAAACAAGGACUUAUACCCCUUAGCUUUUG